RNAcentral lists this transfer RNA (65 nucleotides) under Dipodomys ordii (Ord's kangaroo rat). It matches the Rfam family "tRNA". Rfam says of the family: Transfer RNA (tRNA) molecules are approximately 80 nucleotides in length. Their secondary structure includes four short double-helical elements and three loops (D, anti-codon, and T loops). Lineage: Eukaryota; Metazoa; Chordata; Mammalia; Rodentia; Heteromyidae. The record is from Rfam by way of RNAcentral.
GGUGGCUCAGUGGUAGAGUACUUGCUUUGCAUGCACGAGGCCCUGAGUUUGAUUCCUCAGCACCA